Molecule: ribosomal RNA, 403 nt
Filed under: uncultured bacterium
Lineage: Bacteria
Description: bacterial SSU rRNA
Rfam family: Bacterial small subunit ribosomal RNA
Source: RNAcentral
AAUGAACGCUGGCGGCGCGCCUAAUACAUGCAAGUCGAGCGAGAAGACGUAGCAAUACGUUUGUAAAGCGGCGAGCGGGUGAGGAAUACAUGGGUAACCUACCCUCGAGUGGGGAAUAACUAGCCGAAAGGUUAGCUAAUACCGCGUACGCUUCUUGGACUUCGGUUCAGGGAGGAAAGCGAUGCCGAGGGUAUCGCGCUCUUGGAUGGGCUCAUGUCCUAUCAGCUUGGGUGAGGUAACGGCUCACCAAGGCUUCGACGGGUAGCUGGUCUGAGAGGACGAUCAGCCACACUGGCACUGCGACACGGGCCAGACUCCUACGGGAGGCAGCAGUAAGGAAUAUUGCGCAAUGGGCGAAAGCCUGACGCAGCGACGCCGCGUGGGGGAUGAAGGUCUUCGGAUU